CAGUAGCCGCGGGAAUACGUAGGUGGCAAGCGUUGUCCGGAAUUAUUGGGCGUAAAGGGCUCGCAGGCGGUUUCUUAAGUCUGAUGUGAAAGCCCCCGGCUCAACCGGGGAGGGUCAUUGGAAACUGGGAAACUUGAGUGCAGAAGAGGAGAGUGGAAUUCCACGUGUAGCGGUGAAAUGCGUAGAGAUGUGGAGGAACACCAGUGGCGAAAGCGACUCUCUGGUCUGUAACUGACGCUGAGGAGCGAAAGCGUGGGGAGCGAACAGGAUUAGAUACCCCUGUAGUCCCUGUCUCUUAUAC
This 301-nucleotide ribosomal RNA is filed under the name uncultured bacterium. RNAcentral describes it as "partial 16S ribosomal RNA". It matches the Rfam family "Bacterial small subunit ribosomal RNA", at positions 509 to 807 of the family's 1533-position model. The record is from RNAcentral.